GCCGGGCAUGGUGGUGCAUGCCUGUAAUCCCAGCUACUCAGGAGGCUGAGGCAGUAGAAUCGUUUGCACCCGGGAGGCGGAGGUUGCAGUGAGCCGACAUCGCGCCACUGCACUCCAGCCUGGGCGACAAAGCAAGACUCUGUCUCAA
This 148-nucleotide non-coding RNA is filed under the name Homo sapiens (human). Lineage: Eukaryota; Metazoa; Chordata; Mammalia; Primates; Hominidae. The record is from Rfam by way of RNAcentral.